RNAcentral lists this ribosomal RNA (429 nucleotides) under Bacillota bacterium. RNAcentral describes it as "Firmicutes bacterium partial 16S ribosomal RNA". It matches the Rfam family "Bacterial small subunit ribosomal RNA", at positions 355 to 776 of the family's 1533-position model. The record is from RNAcentral. Lineage: Bacteria; Bacillati; Bacillota.
UAGGGAAUCUUCGGCAAUGGACGGAAGUCUGACCGAGCAACGCCGCGUGAGUGAAGAAGGUUUUCGGAUCGUAAAGCUCUGUUGUUAGAGAAGAACGUUGGUAGGAGUGGAAAAUCUACCAAGUGACGAUAACUAACCAGAAAGGGACGGCUAACUACGUGCCAGCAGCCGCGGUAAUACGUAGGUCCCGAGCGUUGUCCGGAUUUAUUGGGCGUAAAGCGAGCGCAGGCGGUUCUUUAAGUCUGAAGUUAAAGGCAGUGGCUUAACCAUUGUACGCUUUGGAAACUGGAGGACUUGAGUGCAGAAGGGGAGAGUGGAAUUCCAUGUGUAGCGGUGAAAUGCGUAGAUAUAUGGAGGAGCACCGGUGGCGAAAGCGGCUCUCUGGUCUGUAACUGACGCUGAGGCUCGAAAGCGUGGGGAGCAAACAGG